GGGUUGUGAGGUUAAGCGACUAAGCGUACACGGUGGAUGCCCUGGCAGUCAGAGGCGAUGAAGGACGUGCUAAUCUGCGAUAAGCGUCGGUAAGGUGAUAUGAACCGUUAUAACCGGCGAUUUCCGAAUGGGGAAACCCAGUGUGAUUCGUCACACUAUCAUUAACUGAAUCCAUAGGUUAAUGAGGCGAACCGGGGGAACUGAAACAUCUAAGUACCCCGAGGAAAAGAAAUCAACCGAGAUUCCCCCAGUAGCGGCGAGCGAACGGGGAGCAGCCCAGAGCCUGAAUCAGUGUGUGUGUUAGUGGAAGCGUCUGGAAAGGCGUGCGAUACAGGGUGACAGCCCCGUACACAAAAAUGCACAUACUGUGAGCU
This 374-nucleotide ribosomal RNA is filed under the name Shigella flexneri. RNAcentral's name for it is "partial 23S ribosomal RNA". It matches the Rfam family "Bacterial large subunit ribosomal RNA", at positions 1 to 409 of the family's 2925-position model. RNAcentral also lists the same sequence under 1 other name. Lineage: Bacteria; Pseudomonadati; Pseudomonadota; Gammaproteobacteria; Enterobacterales; Enterobacteriaceae. The record is from RNAcentral.